Molecule: long non-coding RNA, 1079 nt
Filed under: Cricetulus griseus (Chinese hamster)
Lineage: Eukaryota; Metazoa; Chordata; Mammalia; Rodentia; Cricetidae
Description: lncRNA (ENSCGRG00015037085.1)
Source: RNAcentral
CAGAUGUGAUACCUGCCGCCUGCCAGGACCUGGCCGAGACUGUGGACAAAGCUGCUGGACACUGGAAAAUUGAUUGUACCCCUUUGCCUAGACAAAACAAGUUUAAAUAUGUCUUAAACAGGUUUCUGCUUCUGGCAGACAUCUGAGUAUCAGUUGCGGACUACAGGCUGUUCUAAGUAGACUGCGAGCCCUGGACUUGCUGUGGAUGUGAACCAGUCAGCUGAUGUGGACACCCCCUGUCUCUGCAACAGUGUCUGCUAACCAGAAGCCCCUGAUGGAUUCCCCAUUGCCUAAAUUCCUUUUUGCUUUUGACUAGCAUUUCAACCUUCUGGGGUCCCUAACUUCGUCCCAAAGUCAGCAGGAAGCAGUUUGGAAAAGAAUUUCGCCGUCCAUUUUCCCUGGUUAAAAUGCUAAGUCAAAAGGAACUCCCUUGCAUGGGGAUGACAGUAUCUAUCACUCCCUGAUGGGGAUGCUAGAGAGACAGCAAUUCCAUGAUUGGAAUUUACAAAAAAGAAAAUGGGGGAAUGAAGGAACCGGCUUCCCUUUUGGCAGCCAUAACAGCCGAACAUGUGCUUGCCAUAUACCUGCCUUGGUCACUUAGAGGUCAGAUGCCUGUCUUGUGACAAGGAACCAAUCAGAAGUUAGCUGGUGGCGCUAUGCUUUACGACCCUGGGUGUGCUUUACGGACAAGCGCACAGCAAUGACAUAGAGAGCAUAGCAACCACCCUGGGAGGGCCUAUGAGCCAUAACAACCAGUUGACCAAUCAACACAGGGCAAGCCCUCCAAGCCUGGAGGCACACCAAUCGUAAGCCUGUGCGUACCCCUAGACACUCCCCUUACGCUGCCCUAUAAGAUCUUUGGGGAGACCUUAGGAGCCGUCUUUUCUAGCCGUCAGCCAUGGCGGGUGGGUGAAAGACCCGAGCUAACAUGGGGUUAGUUCGUUAAAUUACAAUAAAGCCUCGUGCAGUUUGCAGCAAGCUCUCGAAUCCGCCUGGUGAUUGGGGUGACCGCGAACCUGGCCUGAGACCCCGGAUACUUGAGUUUUCGGGGGUCUAACACUAGGAUCCUAGAAGAUUUU